Molecule: ribosomal RNA, 275 nt
Filed under: uncultured bacterium
Lineage: Bacteria
Description: partial 16S ribosomal RNA
Rfam family: Bacterial small subunit ribosomal RNA
Source: RNAcentral
CCUACGGGUGGCUGCAGUGGGGAAUUUUCCGCAAUGGGCGAAAGCCUGACGGAGCAACGCCGCGUGGGGGAGGAAGGCUCUUGGGUUGUAAACCCCUUUUGCUAGGGAAGAAGAAAGUGACGGUACCUAGCGAAUCAGCAUCGGCUAACUCCGUGCCAGCAGCCGCGGUAAUACGGAGGAUGCAAGCGUUAUCCGGAAUUAUUGGGCGUAAAGCGUCCGCAGGUGGUCGCUCAAGUCUGCCGUCAAAGGUCGAAGCUCAACUUCGGAAAGGCGGU